Sorghum bicolor (sorghum) is the source of this 1022-nucleotide long non-coding RNA. RefSeq lists it as uncharacterized. The record is from RefSeq and is a predicted model, not a curated record. Lineage: Eukaryota; Viridiplantae; Streptophyta; Magnoliopsida; Poales; Poaceae. The transcript is spliced from 2 exons.
GUACCGAAAACUUUUCACUUUUCGGAACUAAACAAGGCCUAGCACGAUUGGAACACUGAAAUAGUAGCAAGUCAACAGACCAACACAGCAACACACGCACAGCCUCCUCUCUCUCUCUCUGCCUCUCAUCCAUGGCUCUCCUCUGUUCUUCACGCUGCAGCAACCCCGCUGCCCAAAUCCACUACCAGUACCAUGGAAGAAGAAUCUCACCUCUAAUCACUUCCAUCUAUUCUCUCCAUUGCCAUGGUGCUAUACCUGUCAUUUCCCCCUUCAUUUCGGACUCUUUGAGUCCUCUAUUUUGGGAUCUAGCUCUGCUGCUCGCUGUGGGAAUAAGCAUCGCCUGGUGGUGACCCAUGGCUAAUACCCCAAAUCAAGUCCCCAAAAGUUGUAGUUGCUAUCUAUCUAUUUCUCCCCUUCGAUUUUUUCUCUCUAAUGUGUGUAGGUUGGGGGGCCGGCGGCGACCUGCUCCAUCACGGUGCCGUGCUUGGCGGCCGUGAUGCCCAGGACAGGGCCAAGAAGACCCGUGUGUGCAGCACAAUGACUCCAAAGUCCGGCGACAACCUCCACAACCUGACAGUCUUAACUACUGAAAGGUUCCUUCUUCAAGAUGUGGUUGAUCCCCACCUGGCUACUUGUCUUGACUCUCUCCAUGGUCUCUUAUUGCUCAGGUCAUCAUGGUGUGCUGGUGUGAAUGGUUGAUAAAUUUUCACAGGCUAGGAUUAGAAGGGGUGCUCUUUUGUUCUUGCUGGGUCCUCCUGUUAUACUACUGCUACUACUACUCUUCUCCAUCCCUCGCUGCAGGCUGCGGUAGAUAUUUACCUCAACUUCCUAGUCUUGGUCAAGGUUCUGCAGUUUGCAUAGUGUGCUUGCCCAGCUGUUACUACUGGAUUGGCUGGCCUUCUUCUAGAAGGGUAUGGUAAGUACUCAGUUUUAUAAAACAAGUACCAACUUGGUGGAAUAGUAGCAGCAGUGAAAAAUACUACUACCAUGCAACUAGAAGUGGGAGAUAUUUUGUGAAGCCA